This 779-nucleotide ribosomal RNA is filed under the name uncultured Neocallimastigales. Its description in RNAcentral is "partial large subunit ribosomal RNA". It matches the Rfam family "Eukaryotic large subunit ribosomal RNA", at positions 23 to 645 of the family's 3401-position model. The record is from RNAcentral. Lineage: Eukaryota; Fungi; Neocallimastigomycota; Neocallimastigomycetes; Neocallimastigales.
AGAGAUGUGUGAUGACGCAUAUCAAUAAGCGGAGGAAAAGAAACUAACAAGGAUUCCCUUAGUAACGGCGAGUGAGGCGGGAAGAGCUCAAAUUUGAAAUCUUCAAGGUUCUACCUUGACGAGUUGUAGUUUAUAGAAGUGUUUUCUGUUAGUAGAGUGGCAAAAGUUCUUUGGAAUAGGACAUCAUAGAGGGUGAGAAUCCCGUAUUUGGUCAUUCUUUCUAGCUUUGUGAUACACUUUCAACGAGUCGGAUUGUUUGGGAAUGCAGUCCAAAAUGGGUGGUAAAUUUCAUCUAAAGCUAAAUAUUGGCGAGAGACCGAUAGCGAACAAGUACCGUGAGGGGAAAGAUGAAAAGAACUUUGAAAAGAGAGUUAAACAGUACGUGAAAUUGUCAAAAGGGAAGCGUUUGACACCAGUGUUGUUUUUCCGAAAAUCAAUUACGAAUGUUUUAGUUUUUGAGAAGUUAUGACUUCAUCGGCUUGCUUCUCUCUUUACUGAAACUUUCUUAAUGCACUUUUCGGUUAACAAGUCAACAUCAAUUUCUUUUGUUGUAAAAGGGUAUGAGGAACGGUGGCUUUCUUUUCGGAGAAAGUGUUUAUAGCCUUGUAGCCUCUGCAAUCGGAGAGAUUGAGGUCUGCAGCGUAGAUCCUUCGGGGUUAGAUACAUUUGUGCUAAGUUAUAGCUUUUCAUAGACAACUUGUUGACUAUGUUUAGUCUUGUAGCUUACUCGCUUAUGCUAUUUUACCUACGCUUAGGAUGUUGAAGUCAUCGUAUCGCGC